GCUGGGCGUGGUGGCGCACGCCUGUAGUCCCAGCUACUUGGGAGGCUGAGGCAGGAGAAUCUCUUGAACCCAGGAGGCAGAGGUUGCAGUGAGCCGAGAUUGUGCCACUGCACUCCAGCCUGGGCAAUAGAGGGAGACUCUGUCUCAA
Macaca fascicularis (crab-eating macaque) is the source of this 148-nucleotide unclassified non-coding RNA. It matches the Rfam family "Metazoan signal recognition particle RNA". From Rfam's summary of the family: The signal recognition particle (SRP) is a universally conserved ribonucleoprotein. It is involved in the co-translational targeting of proteins to membranes. The record is from Ensembl. NCBI's taxonomy places the organism in Eukaryota, Metazoa, Chordata, Mammalia, Primates, Cercopithecidae.